Molecule: long non-coding RNA, 474 nt
Filed under: Anas platyrhynchos platyrhynchos (common mallard)
Lineage: Eukaryota; Metazoa; Chordata; Aves; Anseriformes; Anatidae
Description: lncRNA (ENSAPLG00000026671.1)
Source: RNAcentral
UUUCUCCUGCUAUAUUUUUAGAGAGCUUGGUGUUUCUCUAGUAAGGUGCUGCUUCAUGAAACAGAUGGAAAGGGGGGAGCAAAGGUUUGCAUUUCCUUGAACAGAGAAGUGGAUUAAUACCAGGUAUUUAACUACCCGCAGAGGUUCAAAGGAUUCCAAAGAACUGCAUGAAAGAUAUCCAAGGCAUGCAUCAUUUGUUCCUCUUGUUCCCUAAGGGAAGAUAUACUACUUGCAUCAGCUGUACCCUCCUUGGAACAGGGUGAAAGCCACUUAAUAAGGUAAGUGCAAUUUUUCUUAUGGAAUAUUUUUGUCCCUCAGAAGAAUAAGUUGACUGUCCAAGUAUCACAGGAACCAUAGGUACAUAGUCCACGGCAGUUAAUCAGCCUUUGACAACUUUUCAUUGUAUCAUUUAUAUAUGUUAAAAUACUUUAACUGAUCUGCAGAAACAGAAACUUCAGAGAUGGUGACUCCCCA